AACGAACGCUGGCGGCAUGCCUAACACAUGCAAGUCGAACGAUCCCUUCGGGGAUAGUGGCGCACGGGUGCGUAACGCGUGGGAACCUGCCCUUAGGUUCGGAAUAACUCAGAGAAAUUUGAGCUAAUACCGGAUAAUGUCUUCGGACCAAAGAUUUAUCGCCUUUGGAUGGGCCCGCGCUGGAUUAGCUAGUUGGUGGGGUAAAGGCCUACCAAGGCGACGAUCCAUAGCUGGUCUGAGAGGAUGAUCAGCCACACUGGGACUGAGACACGGCCCAGACUCCUACGGGAGGCAGCAGUGGGGAAUAUUGGACAAUGGGCGAAAGCCUGAUCCAGCAAUGCCGCGUGAGUGAUGAAGGCCUUAGGGUUGUAAAGCUCUUUUACCCGGGAUGAUAAUGACAGUACCGGGAGAAUAAGCCCCGGCUAACUCCGUG
This 433-nucleotide ribosomal RNA is filed under the name uncultured bacterium. Its description in RNAcentral is "partial 16S ribosomal RNA". It matches the Rfam family "Bacterial small subunit ribosomal RNA", at positions 29 to 507 of the family's 1533-position model. The record is from RNAcentral.